UACAGAGGUCUCAAGCGUUGUUCGGAUUCAUUGGGCGUAAAGGGUGCGUAGGCGGCUCGGUAAGUCGGGUGUGAAAUCUCGGAGCUUAACUCGGAGACGCCAGUCGAUACUGCUGUGGCUUGAGUCCGACAGGGGAGCAUGGAAUUCCUGGUGUAGCGGUGAAAUGCGCAGAUAUCAGGAGGAACACCAAUGGCGAAGGCAGCUCGCUGGGACGGUACUGACGCUGAGACGCGAAAGCGUGGGGAGCAAACAGG
Molecule: ribosomal RNA, 254 nt
Filed under: uncultured bacterium
Lineage: Bacteria
Description: partial 16S ribosomal RNA
Rfam family: Bacterial small subunit ribosomal RNA
Source: RNAcentral